This is a non-coding RNA of Chlorocebus sabaeus (green monkey), 2124 nucleotides long. The record is from RefSeq and is a predicted model, not a curated record. NCBI's taxonomy places the organism in Eukaryota, Metazoa, Chordata, Mammalia, Primates, Cercopithecidae.
CAAAUGAUCCACCUGCCUCAGCCUCCCAAAGUGCUGGGAUUACAGGCAUGAACCACUGCGCCCGGCCAUUUUUAAAAUAUGAGCUUUUAAUUUACUUGAGAUAUUUACCUUUUUUCAUAUUUGUUGCAAAUGUCUUUGGUUGAGACGCUCUGGAGUCAGACUUGCAUGUGAAUGCAUUCUGACUUCACUACCUCCUACUUGUGUGAUACUGGGUAAAUUACCAUAAAAUGGAGAUAAGAAUAGUUGAUUAAAAAAAAAAAAUGUAGAGAACUUUUUAGCUCCCUUGAGGCUGGGCUGCGCUAUUCUAAGGGGGACUCCGAGCCUGGGCUAUUUCUGGCGCUGGCGCGGCUCCAGGAAGGCAUCCGCAUUUGCAACCAGCUGUGGCAGCGGUGGAGCCUGGCCGGGCCUCAGCGCCCAGCACCGCCGCUCCCGCCAAACCGGAGCAUGCACCACAGGCUGGCGGCCGAGUUCGCCCAUCCCAGCCAUCACUCUUCCACCUGCUCCUUAGAGAAGGGAAGAUGAGCAAGUCAAGCUCAAAGUCCAGCCAGUCCUUGGCCUCCAAGCAGAAAAAGGACGGCACUGAGAAGCGGGGCCGUGGCAGGCCCCACCAGCAGCCUCCGGUGAGUCCCGGGACAUCGCUGGUAUGGAGUCAGAAGGAGCCCAGCGAAAUGCCAACACCUAAGAGACCUCGGGCCGACCAAAGGGAAGCAAAAACAAGGGUGCUGCUAAGACCCGGAAAACCACCACAACUCCAGGAAGGAAACCAAGGGAAAGACCCAAAAAACUGGAGAAGGAGGAAGAGAAGGGCAUCUCGCAGGAGUCCUCACUGAAGGAGCAGCUUCCUUCUGGGACUGGACAGCUUUGAUCCACUCCCACCCCGCCACACCCUCCACCCCCUGCCGACACCCACCAUCACCACCGCCUCCUGCCACCACCCCCAUCUUCCACCUGCCCCUCACCACCACACUACACAACACACCAGCCGCUGCAGGGUCCCUAUGGGCUGAGUGGGGAGGACUUUUCCCCUGGCCUGUUCCCACCCUUAACCCCCACCCACGCACUCAUACAUAUGUGCCCUCCUGGACAAGGCUAAUGUCCCACUUAGUCGCACCCUGCACCUGCUGCGUCCCCACUCCCUUGGUGGUGGGGACAUUGUUCUCUGCGCUUUUGGUUUGGGGGCCACCUCUCUGCUCCUUCACUGUUCCCUCUGGCUUCCCAUAGAGGAGCCUGGGAGGGCUCCCCUGGCCUUAAAAGGGGCCCAAGCCCCCAUUCUGGCACACCCCACUCCACUGUCCUGGCAGCAGCAGGUGUGGCCAAUGGAGGGGGGUGCUGGCCCCCAGGAUUCCCCCAGCCAAACUGUCUUUGUCACCAUGUGAGGCUCACACCUUUCAUCCUUCCCCACCUUCCCUAGUCCCUGCACUAGAUUGGGCAGCCCCCAUUGGCUACAGGAAAGCAGGAGGGGUGUGACUCCCCUACUCCCUCUUUGCAGUGGCCCCAGCCCCCUUACCCUCUGCCUGGGUACUGAGUGCAUAUUGCAGUGAUGGAGAUGCAGUCACCUAUUGUCCAGGUGAGGCCCAUGAGCCCUGUGGCAGCCACCUGAGGUGGGCUGGGGCUGCUCCCCCAACCCUACUUUGCUUCUACCACUUGGCCAUUUCCCCCUCCUCAGAUGGGGCACCAAUAACAAGGAAACCACCUUUCCCACUCCCAACCCUCCUGCUCCUGCCACCCCCCAAGGUUCUGGUUCCAUUUUUCCUUUGUUCACAAACUACCUCCAGACAGUUGUUUUGUUUUUGGUUCAAUGUUCCAUUCUUUGACAUCCGUUAUUGCUACUGCUACCAGCGCUAAAUAUUUGUUCAUCCACAUUGCCUCCUGCUCUGCACAUGAUCCCCUCCCCCAAGUUACUCUUCGUGGGGAAGAGGGGCUGGGGCAUGGCAGGCUGGGUGACCGACUACUCCAGUCGGGGUCCUGCCCCUAGGAUGCUGCCGCAGAGGGAGCAAGGGGGCCCGAAUCCACCAUAAAGGGUGUAGGGGCCACCUCCUUCCCCUGGUCUGUCAGGGAUGGGUAGCCAUUAUUUGUCCCAGCCUGGGGCUCCCCCUCUGAUUUCCUAUUUGCAGUUACUUGAAU